GCUAGUGUAGCUUAAACAAAGCAUAACACUGAAGAUGUUAAGAUGGACCCUAGAAAGUUCCACAAGCA
This 68-nucleotide transfer RNA is filed under the name Astroblepus sp. NM-2010. RNAcentral's name for it is "tRNA-Phe". It matches the Rfam family "tRNA". From Rfam's summary of the family: Transfer RNA (tRNA) molecules are approximately 80 nucleotides in length. Lineage: Eukaryota; Metazoa; Chordata; Actinopteri; Siluriformes; Astroblepidae. The record is from RNAcentral.